UAGGCCAAAGUCCGCUGGAUUGGUCGCUUAGUUGUUAACUAAUGCUUUACGGGAUCGAGGCCCGUUGGUCUAGG
This 74-nucleotide transfer RNA is filed under the name Cyrtodactylus australotitiwangsaensis. Its description in RNAcentral is "tRNA-Asn". The record is from RNAcentral. Lineage: Eukaryota; Metazoa; Chordata; Lepidosauria; Squamata; Gekkonidae.